GACGAACGCUGGCGGCGUGCCUAACACAUGCAAGUCGAGCGAUCUUCUUCGGAAGAGAGCGGCGGACGGGUGAGUAACGCGUGGGUAAGCUGCCCUGUACACACGGAUAACAUACCGAAAGGUAUGCUAAUACGAGAUAAUAUGCUUUUGUCGUAUGGUAGAAGUAUCAAGGCUUUUGCGGUACAGGAUGGACCAGCGUCUGAUUCGCUAGUUGGUACGGUAACGGCUUACCACAGCGACGAUCAGUAGCCGACCUGAGAGGGUGAUCGGCCACAUUGGGACUGAGACACGGUCCAAACUCCUGCGGGAGGCAGCAGUGGGGAAUAUCGCACAAUGGGCGAAAGCCUGAUGCAGCAACGCCGCGGGAGCGAUGACGGCCUUCGAGUCGUAAAGCUCUGUCCUCGAGGAAGAUAAUGACGGUACAUGAGGAGGAAGCCCCGGCUAACUACGUGCCAGCCGCCGCAGUAA
This 468-nucleotide ribosomal RNA is filed under the name uncultured bacterium. Its description in RNAcentral is "partial 16S ribosomal RNA". It matches the Rfam family "Bacterial small subunit ribosomal RNA", at positions 28 to 523 of the family's 1533-position model. The record is from RNAcentral.